This 253-nucleotide ribosomal RNA is filed under the name uncultured bacterium. Its description in RNAcentral is "partial 16S ribosomal RNA". It matches the Rfam family "Bacterial small subunit ribosomal RNA", at positions 524 to 776 of the family's 1533-position model. The record is from RNAcentral.
GACGAACCGUGCGAACGUUGUUCGGAUUCACUGGGCUUAAAGGGCGCGUAGGCGGGUUUUCAAGUCUGGGGUGAAAUCCUCUCGCUUAACGAGAGAACUGCCCUGGAUACUGGGGACCUCGAGGGAGGUAGGGGCAUGUGGAACUUCCGGUGGAGCGGUGAAAUGCGUAGAUAUCGGAAGGAACGCCGGUGGCGAAAGCGACGUGCUGGACCUUUUCUGACGCUGAGGCGCGAAAGCCAGGGGAGCAAACGGG